ACCAUGGCUAAGAAAAAAAGCUUCCUUGGUAUCAUGGAAAGUUUGAGGUAUUGUUUUCCUUUCAUCCUACUCCAGCAGUUUGUGGGUUUCGUACAAAAGAGGCACGUGUUCUAAUUCCAGAAACUGGUUUGUGAUUACGGUCUGCCUCCGUCAAUUAACAAUAGUAUUAAGAAGCAUUGGCCAAGUUGUUCCUUGAAAUAAGCAUUGGCCCAUGAAUGAGCCUUAUGGAAAUUGUAGCCUUAUGGAAGAGGAAUUAAAAUUGUUUGGUUUAUUUUUAGUUUAUGUGCAUGUAUAAAGAAUCCUUGACUUUCAGAUUUGAUUUUAUUUAGCUAAUAGUGCAAU
Non-coding RNA from Camellia sinensis, 342 nucleotides. The record is from RefSeq and is a predicted model, not a curated record. NCBI's taxonomy places the organism in Eukaryota, Viridiplantae, Streptophyta, Magnoliopsida, Ericales, Theaceae.